AGCGAACGCUGGCGGCAGGCCUAACACAUGCAAGUCGAACGAACUCUUCGGAGUUAGUGGCGGACGGGUGAGUAACACGUGGGAACGUGCCUUUAGGUUCGGAAUAACUCAGGGAAACUUGUGCUAAUACCGAAUGUGCCCUUCGGGGGAAAGAUUUGUCGCCUUUAGAGCGGCCCGCGUCUGAUUAGCUAGUUGGUGAGGUAAAGGCUCACCAAGGCGACGAUCAGUAGCUGGUCUGAGAGGAUGAUCAGCCACAUUGGGACUGAAACACGGCCCAAACUCCUACGGGAAGCAGCAGUGGGGAAUCUUGCGCAAUGGGCGAAAGCCUGACGCAGCCAUGCCGCGUGAAUGAUGAAGGUCUUAGGAUUGUAAAAUUCUUUCACCGGGGACGAUAAUGACGGUACCCGGAGAAGAAGCCCCGGCUAACUUCGUGCCAGCCGCCGCCGUAA
Molecule: ribosomal RNA, 449 nt
Filed under: uncultured bacterium
Lineage: Bacteria
Description: partial 16S ribosomal RNA
Rfam family: Bacterial small subunit ribosomal RNA
Source: RNAcentral